UACGUAGGGGGCAAGCGUUGUCCGGAUUUAUUGGGCGUAAAGAGCGUGUAGGCGGCCAUGUAGGUCCGUUGUGAAAACUCGAGGCUCAACCUCGAGACGCCGAUGGAAACCAUGUGGCUAGAGUCCGGAAGAGGAGAGUGGAAUUCCUGGUGUAGCGGUGAAAUGCGCAGAUAUCAGGAAGAACACCCGUGGCUAAGGCGGCCCUCUAGUACGGUACUGACGCUGAGACGCGAAAGCGUGGGGAGCAAACAGG
Molecule: ribosomal RNA, 253 nt
Filed under: uncultured bacterium
Lineage: Bacteria
Description: partial 16S ribosomal RNA
Rfam family: Bacterial small subunit ribosomal RNA
Source: RNAcentral